GCACAAGCGGAGGAGCAUUGUGGUUUAAUUUCGAUGAUACGCGAGGAACCUUACCUGGGCUUAAAUGCUUAAUGACGUACUGGGAAACUGGUAUUUCUUCGGACAUUUUGCAAGGUGCUGCAUGGUUGUCGUCAGCUCGUGCCGUGAGGUGUCGGGUUAAGUCCCAUAACGAGCGCAACCCCUAUGUUAGUUGCCAUCAGGUCAUGCUGGGGACUCUAACAAAACUGCCCGCGUAAGCGUGGAGGAAGGUGGGGAUGACGUCAAAUCAGCACGGCCCUUACGUCCAGGGCUACACACGUGCUACAAUGGCCGGUACAGAGGGCAGCCACUUGGUGACAAGGAGCAAAUCUCAAAAGCCGGUCUCAGUUCGGAUUGGAGUCUGCAACUCGACUCCAUGAAGUUGGAAUCGCUAGUAAUCGUGGAAUCAGCAUGCCACGGUGAAUACGUUCCCGGGCCUU
This 458-nucleotide ribosomal RNA is filed under the name uncultured Bacteroidota bacterium. RNAcentral's name for it is "bacterial SSU rRNA". It matches the Rfam family "Bacterial small subunit ribosomal RNA", at positions 923 to 1382 of the family's 1533-position model. The record is from RNAcentral. Lineage: Bacteria; Pseudomonadati; Bacteroidota.